UUUUCAUUUCAAAUCGAUUCACACACAUAGCAGACGCUAACACAUCAAGCGUCAUCAAUAGCGUGGUCUGUGGUGCAAUGCUAUCGCUGGAGUAAGGCGUUUACCUUCAAUUCGGGUAGCGUCAUGAUUGGCCUACCCUGAUGGCGUCAUGAUCGCUGCUGAUUGCCUUUCAAAUAGGUUUUCAGCAUUCUGCUUACACCUUUGGCAUAGAGUCACAUAUUUCACAAUCCAACAUCAAUUGGUACCAACAGCAGCCCUUCUCUCCAUCAUCCAGAAGGGUCUGAGAUCAGUGUUGGAGAUGAUGGUUCGGAACAACCCAUGGAAAGCUUAUCACUCAUUGAUGCUGUGAUGCCUGAUGUUGUUGCAAGUCGUUAACAGCAAACACAGAACAAUCAGAAACCAAAGUGGUAAGACAGAACCACCAAAUUCCAAUGGAGAUGAACCCAUGCAUUCCUAUCGCUGGGAAGAGGAAACAGGAGUAGAGAUACUUGCCAGCAAAUCUAAAACUGUUCUGAUGGUACCAUCAAAGAGAGAGAAAGACAUCAGAUGAACAUCGAGGUCAUUCAGACUUACAAUCACUGAAAAAAUUACUAUCCUGUUUAUUGAAUAUACAGUGUAAUAACACCAUAAAACAUCAGACCACCUAAAUCAUAAUUGGGGGUAAUUUCAAAAAAUAAAACACGCGGUAGCCAACUGAUUUUUAAAA
Daphnia pulicaria is the source of this 706-nucleotide long non-coding RNA. RefSeq lists it as uncharacterized. The transcript is spliced from 4 exons. NCBI's taxonomy places the organism in Eukaryota, Metazoa, Arthropoda, Branchiopoda, Diplostraca, Daphniidae. The record is from RefSeq and is a predicted model, not a curated record.